RNAcentral lists this ribosomal RNA (502 nucleotides) under uncultured bacterium. RNAcentral's name for it is "partial 16S ribosomal RNA". It matches the Rfam family "Bacterial small subunit ribosomal RNA", at positions 28 to 506 of the family's 1533-position model. The record is from RNAcentral.
GACGAACGCUGGCGGCGUGCUUAACACAUGCAAGUCGAACGGUGAAGCGCUUUCCUUUUUGGUUGGUGUGGAUGAGUGGCGAACGGGUGAGUAACACGUGAGUAACCUGCCCCCUUCUUCUGGAUAACCGCAUGAAAGUGUGGCUAAUACGGGAUAUUCUGCGCCUGCUGCAUGGUGGGUGUGGGAAAGAUUGUGCCUUUGGGUGUUUUCGGUGGGGGAUGGGCUCGCGGCCUAUCAGCUUGUUGGUGGGGUGAUGGCCUACCAAGGCGGUGACGGGUAGCCGGCGUGGGGGGGUGGGCGGUCAAACUGGGAUGGAGACACGGCCCAGCAUCCUACGGGAGGCAGCAGGGGGGAAUAUGAGACAAGGGGCGAAAGCCUGGGGCGGGGACGCCGGGUGAGGGAGGGGGGCCUUGGGGUUGUGAACCUCUUUCGCCAGGGAAGGAGGCCUGCUCCUGGGGGGGGGGUUGAGGGUAGUGGGAAAAGAAGCGCCGGCAAACUACGG